RNAcentral lists this long non-coding RNA (687 nucleotides) under Helianthus annuus (common sunflower). RNAcentral's name for it is "hypothetical non coding rna". The record is from RNAcentral. Lineage: Eukaryota; Viridiplantae; Streptophyta; Magnoliopsida; Asterales; Asteraceae.
GUGUGUGUUCGUGAAGCUUCAGGAGCUCUCAAGAGCUCCAAACCCUAAACAUGAAAGAUCAUCCAAAUUGAAAGGCUAAAUGAUGCUUAAAUCCAUAACCGAGCAUGGAUUAAUGUUCACCAACACGAGGAGAUCAUAAGGAAUCAUAUCAAGGCAGACUCAAGCACGAAUGACUAACGGGUCAAGAGAAGGCAAGGAAGCGAAUAGGAACGCGGAUGCAUAAGGUACAUUACUGAAGCCUCACAAGAAAAUGGAUACGCAGAUGAAAUGCUUAAAGUUUGAAAAAUGACGAAUAGUGAAGUGUACGUGAAUGAAUCUUGUUUAUAUAAUGUGUGCUAAUGUAUGAAUGAAUGUGGUGAGUGCAGGUUGUACGAAUCACGGAUUAACCUCACAAGGAGUAGCGAUCGAAGACCGAGUCACAAGAUAGAUUGUAUGGGAAUGUUUACAUAUGUAAUUUAGUGAUGAUAAGUUAUGUUUUUAUAUUUAAAAUGGACUUUCAAGUAAGUCAAAAUGUUUGUAAAGGAAGAAAAUUUUAUGGCAUGAAUUUCCGCUGCGACUUUUUUGUCUAAUACAAAUUAGGGCCGUACAACAUUGUAAGAUAAACAGUGUGUAUGGAUGCCUAUAUAAUCUAUAAAACAAAAUAGAAGUCGAAACAUCGACAAUUUUGGCUAUAUAUAUGUGUGUUGU